ACUGGGGUUGGAUCACCUCCUUACCUUAAUGAUGACGAAGUUGUUGAGUGUUCACACAGAUUGCCUUGAUUCAAAUUAAUUAAAGCAAAAACCUGGUGCGCAAGCAUCAGUGCUUGUUUGGCUAACCCCUGAUAAGGGUGAGGUCUUUGUUGGGUGUUGGGAUGUGAAUACCGCUUCGAGUCGUGGCCCAUUCCCCUGCUGGCAGAGCCAAAGACAAAUCCGGGUCCCCUUCGCCUAGAGGCCUAGGACACCGCCCUUUCACGGCGGUCUGAAUUGUUCAAAUCCCCAAGGGAACACCUCUUCU
This 304-nucleotide unclassified non-coding RNA is filed under the name Aeromonas hydrophila. Its description in RNAcentral is "partial contains 16S ribosomal RNA and 16S-23S ribosomal RNA intergenic spacer". The record is from RNAcentral. Lineage: Bacteria; Pseudomonadati; Pseudomonadota; Gammaproteobacteria; Aeromonadales; Aeromonadaceae.